AAAUGCAAUGAUCAACUAUGUGGAGGAGAUAUGUGAGAAAUGCCUUAGCAGAUGAUGAAGAAAGAGAUCAAAAGGCUCCGAGAAGCAGGAAUGCUACGGUGGAUAUGCAGUCAGCUCUCUGUAUCUGUGGGUUCAUUCAACCUCGGACUGAAAAUAUUCAGCAUUUGGGAAAAAAGUGGCAUCCCAUACUCAACAUGAUGUGAAUUGUCCCUUUGUCCAGUGGAUACACACUGUCAACACUUCCCUCCAGUUAGCCACUUCACCAUCUCGGUGAUCAGAUGGACUGUCGAGGUAUCGCAGUGCUUGUGUUCAAGGCACCCUCAUUUUACCUAAUAAUGGCCCCAAAGCACAAGAGUGGUGAUGCUGGUGAUUCAAAUAUGCCAAAGGGAAGCCGUAAAGUGCUUCCUUUAAGUGAAAAGAACCAGGGGUCCUGAUAAUUGACAGUGGAUCUCCAUGAAGUCAAGUAAUUACUUAAUAUAUCUAUUACCACUACCAAAUGUCCAACCUGCCAGCAACAGAAACCAACACUGAGCUCUUCAACAAACACAGUCCCCAGAGGAGACUAACCAGCCACUUGCUAGCAACUUGAUCACAUCAGAUUCCUUUCAAUCUGGAAAUGGCAGUAAUUGAUUUUGACUGGAAUUGACACAUAUUCCAGAGAUGGCUUUACCUUUCCUACCCACAGGGACUCAGGCAGCAUGACCACCUGUAAGCUUAUAGAUUAUAUGAUAAACUGACAUGGAAUCCUGCAUAACGUGACUGUGGACCACUGGCCCCAUUUUAUAGCAAAAGAAGGACAACAAUGGACAUAUGAUGAUAGGAUAACACCAUCCAGAAACUGCCUAUCUACUAGAGGUUUUUGACAGCACAGCUAAAGUGCCAGCCUGCAGGUGAUACUGUGUCCGGAAUUGGUGGGUUCUUGGUCUCACUGACUUCAAGAAUGAAGCCGCGGACCCUCACAGUCUUCAGGUAGCUGGGUAAGAAGCGGCAAGGCAAACAAAGGGUCCUGGUAAUUGAAAACAACUGAUGAGUCAAACCUAAGCAUUCGGCAUUGGGAGCACUGUCACUAAAACUGCAGCCUCAUUCAACAACACAUCCUUAUCGAGCACUUGCAGGUACUCCAUUGAAUGUUAGAAAUGCAUUGAUGAUGGAGACACAGCACCGGCUCAUGAGGACCUUCCAGCCUAGGCAGCAGGACUGGACAUACGCACUUUGGUAGAUUUAUUUUUAGAAAUUGGCUUAUGCAAGUGUGGGGCUGGCAAGUCUAACAACUGCAGGGCAGGUCAGGAGGCUGGAGACCCAGGGAAGAGUUGAUGCUGCAGUCUCUAGUCUGAAGGCAGUGCAGAGGCAGAAUUCCCUCUUUCUCGGAGGAUCUCAGGCUUUUUCUCCUAAGUCCUUCAACCAAGUGGAUGAGGCCACCCGCAUUAGAGAAGGGAAAGCUAGCUGAUAUGUUAUGAGGACAUUUGAGCAGCCCCAUGGAGAAGUCCACGUGGAAGGAACUGAGGCCUCUUGCUACCGUUAUGUGAGUGAGCCAUCUUGGAAGCAGAUCCUCCAGCCUGGUUGAUCCUUUGGAUGACUGCAGCCCCAGGUGCCAUCUUGACUACAACAUCAGGAAAGAUUCCAAAUUAGACUCCCCCAUCCCAGGCCUGGCCCAGAGAAAGAGAUGAAAGCUGACACGCAGCUCUCAGAAUCACCCUUGCUAUCAGGUUUGGCUUCUGGAGCUGAUGGGAAUCUGAGAGACGUCAGGGUAGAAGCCGCCUGUCUUGGUGAGCUUCCCGUGCUCAUCUGGCUUUGGGAAAGACUCUCAGCCUCAUUUGCUUAUCCUCCAUCACGGACCAAGCACUUGGUUUGGGAAUAAGGGGCCCUUGGCACUUACUGUUGUGUUCUUGGCCUUUGGGGCCUUGGCCAAGAGUCAGGUGGAAAGAGUUCCACCCUAACAUCUUCUCCUAUGCUUCCUCCCAGAGCAGGGGAUGGGAAAGUAUGGGGAGAAAAAGGCUCCUUAGGGAAUUACUUCAUGUUAAAAAAUAUUUACUAGGCACUUAACACGUACGCAGAAAUUUACCAGUGGCUGAAGUGGGUAAUAGGGAUGUAUCAAUUAACUAAUAAACUAAUUAAUUAGA
Homo sapiens (human) is the source of this 2120-nucleotide long non-coding RNA. Ensembl annotates it as long intergenic non-protein coding RNA 2150. The record is from Ensembl. NCBI's taxonomy places the organism in Eukaryota, Metazoa, Chordata, Mammalia, Primates, Hominidae.